GAUGAACGCUGGCGGCGUGCCUAAUACAUGCAAGUCGAGCGAACAGACGAGGAGCUUGCUCCUCUGACGUUAGCGGCGGACGGGUGAGUAACACGUGGAUAACCUACCUAUAAGACUGGGAUAACUUCGGGAAACCGGAGCUAAUACCGGAUAAUAUAUUGAACCGCAUGGUUCAAUAGUGAAAGACGGUUUUGCUGUCACUUAUAGAUGGAUCCGCGCCGCAUUAGCUAGUUGGUAAGGUAACGGCUUACCAAGGCAACGAUGCGUAGCCGACCUGAGAGGGUGAUCGGCCACACUGGAACUGCAACACGGUCCAGAAUCCUACGGGAGGCAGCAGUAGGGAAUCUUCCGCAAUGGGCGAAAGCCUGACGGAGCAACGCCGCGUGAGUGAUGAAGGUCUUCGGAUCGUAAAACUCUGUUAUGAGGGAAGAACAAAUGUGUAAGUAACUAUGCACGUCUUGACGGUACCUAAUCAGAAAGCCACGGCUAACUACGU
Molecule: ribosomal RNA, 496 nt
Filed under: uncultured bacterium
Lineage: Bacteria
Description: partial 16S ribosomal RNA
Rfam family: Bacterial small subunit ribosomal RNA
Source: RNAcentral